UACGUAGGGUGCGAGCGUUAAUCGGAAUUACUGGGCGUAAAGCGUGCGCAGGCGGUUAUGCAAGACAGAUGUGAAAUCCCCGGGCUCAACCUGGGAACUGCAUUUGUGACUGCAUGGCUGGAGUGCGGCAGAGGGGGAUGGAAUUCCGCGUGUAGCAGUGAAAUGCGUAGAUAUGCGGAGGAACACCGAUGGCGAAGGCAAUCCCCUGGCCUGCACUGACGCUCAUGCACGAAGCGUGGGA
RNAcentral lists this ribosomal RNA (241 nucleotides) under uncultured bacterium. Its description in RNAcentral is "partial 16S ribosomal RNA". It matches the Rfam family "Bacterial small subunit ribosomal RNA", at positions 524 to 766 of the family's 1533-position model. The record is from RNAcentral.